Molecule: ribosomal RNA, 1526 nt
Filed under: Ptilometra sp. DH-R
Lineage: Eukaryota; Metazoa; Echinodermata; Crinoidea; Comatulida; Ptilometridae
Description: 16S ribosomal RNA
Rfam family: Bacterial large subunit ribosomal RNA
Source: RNAcentral
AUAAAAAAUAGCUCAAAAAAUAAAAAUAAAAUAAAAAAUUAAUAAAAAAUAAAAUAAAAAAUUAAUAAAAAUAAGUAUAAUUAUUAGAAAAUAUUAUUUUGAAGCUAAAUAAAAGUACUGUAAAGGAAAAUUGAAAAACUUAAAUAAAGAAUUUUUUAAAAGAAGAAAUUAAAACUCCUACCUUUUGUAUGAUGGUUUAACAACAAAAAAGAAAAAUAAUUCUAAACCCGAAACCAAGAGAUCUAAUGAAACCCCAACAUUUGGUUGUGGUAUAUAUUACUGUUGCAAAAGUAAAUAAAGAGGCUUCAUUAGCCAUGAAAAGUGAAACGAGCUUGGUGAUAGCUGGUUUUCCAUAAAAUGAGCUUAAGCUCAAGCUUUUAUUUAUAAUUUAAAAUAAUACUUUUAUAAAAAUAAAAAGCUAAACCAAAAGGGAUAAACUUUUUGGUUAAAGGAAAAAGCCUAUUUUUACAGUUAAAAUCAAAAAUUAAAAAAAGAAAUAAAAAUAUAGUAGGCCUAGAAGCAGCCACCAAAAAGAAAGCGUUAAAGCAUAUUAAAAAUAAAAACAAUAAUUUAUGAAAAAAAAAUUUUAACUUUUUUUCUAAUGGAAUAAUAACUACAAGUUAUAAAACAAUGUUAAAAUUAGUACUUAAAAUUAGUUAAAAAAAAUUAAACUAUUCUAACCAAAAAACUAAUGGAAGAAAGAAAAUAUUAAAAUAAACUAGAAAAAAAUUUUCUUAAAUAGUUUUAUUCAACACCGAAAACUAAAAACUAAAAAAAAUAAGAAGAAGGAACUCGGCAAACCAAAGCUUCGCCUGUUUACCAAAAACAUCGCUCUCUGUUAUAUUUUUAAAUAAAGAGUACUGCCUGCCCAGUGACAAAAGUUAAACGGCCGCGGUAUCUUGACCGUGCAAAGGUAGCAUAAUCAUUUGUUCUUUAAUUGAGGACUAGUAUGAAAGGCAAAACGAAAGCUUAACUGUCUCCUUCUUAAAAAAAGAAAUUCUUAUUUUCGUGAAGAAACGAAAAUAAAACCGUAAGACGAGAAGACCCUGUCGAGCUUAAGAAAAUUUUUAUAAGAAAAAAUAAACAGAUAAAACAUUAAAUUUACUAAAAAUCCAAAUAAAAACAUCUUUGGUUGGGGCAACCACGAAGAAAAAAUAACCUUUGAAAAUCAAAAAAAAUUUACAAAUUUAAAAAUUUUUAAUAAAAAAAAGAUCCAGAAAAUACUGAUCAAAGAAAAAAGUUACCGCAGGGAUAACAGCGUUAUUCUCUUUAAGAGUUCAUAUUGACGAGAGAGUUUGCGACCUCGAUGUUGGACCGGGACACCCAAGAGGUGCAGCAGCCUCUAAAGGUAGGUCUGUUCGACCUUUAAAGCCCUACGCGAUCUGAGUUCAGACCGACGCAAGUCAGGUCAGUUUCUAUCUACGAAAAAAGCAGCUUCAUUAGUACGAAAGGAAUUUGAAACUAGAAACAACUUUUCAAAAAGAAUUCUUAAAAACAAAUACUGAAAACAAAUAAAGAAACUACUU